Long non-coding RNA from Bos taurus (domestic cattle), 4088 nucleotides. Lineage: Eukaryota; Metazoa; Chordata; Mammalia; Artiodactyla; Bovidae. The record is from Ensembl.
GGACCGGCCGGUGCUCGAGGUCAGAGGGGUUGCCGUUAUACCACCGGCCCCUUCGGGCAGAACGAUUUUGCGGCGUCCGGGCGACGUCGUCCAGCCGUCACUUUGGCCUCUGAUCACCCAGGCAGAACAUUUCUGAAAUUAAAGAAGCUCAUGAAGAGUUUAUCAGAAACAUAACUCUCCCACGGCACAAGUUAAGGCUCCUUGGGGACUUCUCCAGUCAAGAAUGACCCCAGUAAUGGUGGGGGCUGUGUCCUUGGCCCCCCCCCCCCCCCCCCCGCCUGAUCCAGUCCCAUAGACCGGAGUCUGGGGAACCUCCCAGAGGGGAGGUUGAGCAGCUGGCCUGCCCCAGAGAAGAGUUUCGAGCAGGAGAGUGAAGAGAGGAGCCAGGAAGGUGACCAGAGUGACCAGAACUGCCAGCCAGGUCUCCGCUGACAUGUCGCCCUUUCCCGGAAGUCAGCCUCAGUGAUGCGAGGCAAGACAGAUGUAAAGCUCUUUGAGGAAGAACCACCCUGUGUCCCUUGGACUCACAGCACCAAGGGACACCGAGCACCGAGGGACUCGGGAUGACGUGGGGAUCGGUGACUGUAUACAGCUAUGGACGCAGACAGAUGGAUUUGUGGCUCAGGGUCAUCACGCAUGGAGACACGCUUACCCCAGCCUGAAGACAUGACCUGCCUUCUCGGGGAUAGUUGUCGGCCAUUCUCUUCCGAGUCACACAGGAAGAAGGUGAUCUCAUCUUUAUUGCCACUCUUCCCCGACCCCGACCUGAAAGCAGGAUUAGCCCUGAUGUCCAUAAGGUGGCAGAGGCCCUUGGCUCUGUCUGGGAGGCAUUGCUGGCUGUCAUGUGUUGUGCUAACCUUGGGAGUGACCUUGAUUGGGGAGGCAGGGAACAAGCAAGAAAUUAGUAUGUUGGAGAGCUGGCCAGUUUCCCGGUUAAGGAGGGCUGGCUCAGGGUCCACCCCCAAGAUGAACUUGGAGCUCUUUGAGAGCAAGACCUAUGUCUGAAGCAUCUCUGUAUUCAUAGUGCCUCAAUUAACACCUGGCACGUAGCAGGUGUUCAUCCAACACUGGGCGCUCCUGUAGUUGCCAGCAACCAGAGUUACCAGCAAGGAGGUAACAGGAAAACAGAUGUUAACGACUGUACUGAAAGGCCCCACCUGUGCUGACCACCACAAAGGCAUCAUCCUUUGCUAUAGAGCAGAGUUCUGGGUCCCAAGCACAAAAUCCAGGAACAUCUCUUGUCUUUUGUUAACUGCAAAAUCUCUAUCUCCCCUACAAAAAAAAAAAAAACACAGGGACAGACUCUGUGUAUAUAUCCAUGGAUUUAUAUAGCCAUGGCGUGCUCUUCUAAAUGUCUUUAAAAUCUAUUAAGUUAGAAAUGUUGGAGGUGGUGAUGAUAAGAGCUAGUCCCUAGAUGUGGCAUUGCCCAUCAGAACUGCGUUUCCUAGAAAGCCAAGGCUGCUUCUGAACAGCUGAACCUUGAACCCAGUAAAGCCUUGAACCCGGUGAAAGGAUGAGUAGAUCGUGGAGCGUUAAGGAGAAAAAGGGAGGGUCCUUGCCAGCCGCCUCUUUGCCUGCUUACCAGAGGCUCGCAAGCUCACAUGGCGGUCUCUGGGCAGGAGGACAGCUGGUCACUGGGUUUCUGUGCUCCUGUCCUGGGAGUUUAGAGCUGGAACGUCACUUACAGUGGAUCUUCAGAUACCCUCUCAGAUCACUCCUCGAAGGGCUUAUCCCAGGAACAAAUCAAAUAGGAAGUGAUAGAAACAGGCAGAGGAGUUUGAAAUGGCUAAACCAGGGAAGGCUGUUGGGGGAGAGGGGAUUGGAGGGACAGGGACUGUAAGCUCAGCGAGGUUAGAGACUCUUUAACUCCUGGGGGGCUGGGUGAAGGCUGUUCCAAAGGCCUCUAGGAAAUCGUUCAAGAAACUAGAAGGAAAGCUGUCAAGUGCUUCAUGGGGUGCAAAGUCACCCCCCCAGCCCCACUCACCACCGUGGGGGGCCCCAGUGGAGCUCCCCAUCAGAACCGCCACGCCACGCCAGCUCUUUCAAUGGGCGCCGUCCAGUGGGCUCUCCCCUGGGGCUUGGCCCCACCUGAGCGUGUGAUAGGCUCUGAUGACAACAGUCACUCACAUGCAUUUAGUGCCUCACACACAGGGUCUCAUUUAAUCCUCCCAACAACGCUUGAAAUGGAAUGUUUCUAUCCUCACGUUAAAAAUGAAGAAACUAAGACCUGGAGAGGUGCAAUAACUUUCCCAAGGUCAUGCAACUAAGAAGUAGAGGAGCGAGGCUUAGAAUCCAGUCUUGCACGAAUGUUCUCAUUUUCGCGUUGUGGGAUUUUUCAUUCCCUUUGCUGGAAUCACCAGUCUGUUUUCUGUCCCUGUUACGUGGUCCUGCUUCUCCCGUCUCUUCUGUGGCCUGCCAAAGCCACAAAAUGGUUUCUAAGUUCCAAGUCCAGUGGGUACCAGAUGCUGCCAGGCCCUAUUAAAGCCAUGUUCAUGAGAGAGCCCGGCUUCCUACUAGCAGUCCCUGGAAUCUCUCCUGUGGGAAUUCGGGGGAUAUUCCGAGUCAGGGCAGACUUAAGAAACUGAUUAUGCUGUUCAUUCUGUAAGUCAAGUAACAGGCCCUCAGAGUGAGUGACCUGAACAGCUGGAGCCAGCUGGGCAGGUUCAGCUGCAGCCACAGGUCAAGGGCCUUGGUUCAUCUGCCAGCCGGAUUCCUCUCUUCUCCACUUGGCAUCCACUGAAAAGGGACUGAAAUGUGCAAAAUGGCCUUUUCCCUCCUGUGUCCACCUGGCGUCUCUCUAGUAGACUGGCCUAAUUUCCUCAUCUUGUUGCCCUGGGCUCCAGGAGCCACCUCCCACACCCUCUGUCCUGCCCCACUCCCAUACCCAUCUCCUUCAGUCCAGCUGGCUGUGUUGUAUCACAUGACUCUGCCUCUGUCCUCCUCACACCACACACACACACACACACACUCACACACUCAGGCAGGUCAAUGAGCCAGGAUCUGUGUACACUGGUCAACAACUUGUGAAGUCCCCUGACUCAGGGAAUGUUUGGAAAGCCAGUCAGGCCAGGCAGAUUCCUCUUUUAGGAAAUUUGAACCUCCAAAUCAGGCUGCAUGGGCAGUGUGUGACAGGAGGUCAUGAGGGCAAGUAGGGCCAGGUGCUGGCCGGAAGUACACUGAGAUGGAAGCUUGGAGAUUGAAGAAAGGCAAAACAAUACUUAUCAUUGGGGGAUUAAUGAGCCUCUUUGGGAAGAAGAUAAAGGAUGUCGAGAUUAGAGGCAGAACUCCAGGAAAGGCAGAGAGAGGAGCCAGUCCUAGAGCCUCCCCAAGGCUCGCCAGGCCUGCCUCACCCAUGUGAGGCAGCAGGCUCCUUACUUAGUCCCUCUGCUGUCUGUUGGCUCAGAAUUGGGCAUGUGACAGUUCUGCCAACAUAACUUAUGGGGAAAUGGCUGGGGGACCUUCUGGGAAGAUUUUGUUUUCUGAUAAAAGGAGAAUGAAGAGGCCCAUCUCUUCCUCCUGCUUUGAACAGGGAUGUUUGAGAUGUGAUAUUUGGAGCUGUGGCAGCCAUUUUGAGACCAGGUGGCAACGAAACUAAGGGAGAAAGCCAACAUAGCAAGGUUGGCCGAGUAGACAGACAAAGCCUAGGUCCUCGAUGAUACCGUUGAGCCACCAUACCUAUCCGGGAACCGCCUACUUCCAGUCUUACUGAUCUUUAAAUUGAACCGUCUUUAUUUUCUAAGCACAUUUCUGCUAUUUUCAGCCUAAAAGGCAUUCUUAGCCAGUCAAUACAACACUCCUCCGAACUUCCCAGUCAUCAACUCCUUAGAGCCCCCACGGCUCUUGGUACAGCUCCAAAUGGAAAAUCAGCCCAAUUUAGACACUGGAAACCUUAAUUGUAUGGUAGGAAAUACAGGUCAAGAUUGGUCAUAGCCCACACAGGCAAGCAGCUUGUACACUUAGUUCCGAUUCCUGGAGCCUACCGGGCACUGAUGAGGAAAGAAAGAUUCAGGACAGUUCCAGAUGCAUGAGCCUGGGUCUUCUAAAUUGGGGCUCCAUGAGGAACUUUAGAACAAAUCAGCGUGGAAUCG